This 167-nucleotide ribosomal RNA is filed under the name Phoradendron velutinum. RNAcentral describes it as "5.8S ribosomal RNA". It matches the Rfam family "5.8S ribosomal RNA". Rfam says of the family: 5.8S ribosomal RNA (5.8S rRNA) is a component of the large subunit of the eukaryotic ribosome. It is transcribed by RNA polymerase I as part of the 45S precursor that also contains 18S and 28S rRNA. Lineage: Eukaryota; Viridiplantae; Streptophyta; Magnoliopsida; Santalales; Viscaceae. The record is from RNAcentral.
UGAAUGACUCUCGACRACUGAUAUCUUGGCUCUAGCCUCCAAGAACAACGCCGCGAAAUGCGAUACGUGGUGUGAAUUGCAGAAUCCCGUGAAUCAUCGAAUCUUUGAACGCAAGUUGCGCCCAAUGCUAUUUAUAGGCUGAGGGCWSUCCUGCCGUGGUGUCAUUC